Molecule: long non-coding RNA, 315 nt
Filed under: Equus caballus (horse)
Lineage: Eukaryota; Metazoa; Chordata; Mammalia; Perissodactyla; Equidae
Description: lncRNA (ENSECAG00000043828.1)
Source: RNAcentral
GGAAAACCAGAGGGCGGGCGCUGCAAGGGGCUCCUGUCCUUCCUGGAGAAGGCCGGUCUUGCUUAGUUGUCUGUGGUGACAAGCAGGGGUCAAGGAAGAUGGAUAGUUGUGGACGAUGCAGCUGAUGCUGAUGUCCCAGAAGAGAGGCCACUUGCUUAAACCCUCCAGGACAGCGCUGAAGGAGCCGGCAUCCCAAGCAGGCCCAUGGAUGCCACGGUAUCCGUCCUUUCUGUCUGUGGUUUGUUAAUAUUGAGAGGGGAAGGAUCGUCCAGGGGGGUGGGCAGCAUGAGCGUGGACCCCCUCAGCCCGGACACC